Molecule: long non-coding RNA, 617 nt
Organism: Ostrea edulis (European flat oyster)
Lineage: Eukaryota; Metazoa; Mollusca; Bivalvia; Ostreida; Ostreidae
Exons: 2
Source: RefSeq, a predicted model, not a curated record
AAGCAUAUAUCAACCGUGUAUGUAUCAUAAAACGAUCUAAGUGCAAUAAACGUGUUUUAUUGUUGUGAUUGCAUCUUUCGCUGCUAGUAUUGCACAUGUGUCUGCAAACAGGGCGUUUAGCUGUCCUCUUAUCUCAAAAUGCGGAAAUGAUCGUAUAUAAACAUUUCUGCUGUUGACAUGCAAUGAUUUGUUGACCGUUAAAUACAAUAUAUUGCUUUGGUUCUGUUUUAUAUAUAUUUAAAAAACUUAACAGAUUUAGGUGAAAGUUUUAUAAUUCAAGAAAUAUGUUUCGCAUUAACUUUAAUUCUUCGUUUUCUGUUUGGUUCAGAAACUUAUGCAGGAACAAAUUGAUGACUUAAUUGGAAUAUUUAUCAAUGAAUGACGCUCGGACACUGGAUCAAUAUUUACAUUGAAAUUUUGCUUUACUUCACCUUUUCUGAAGAGCGCACUUGCAAUCUCUGAAUACUGUAUCCUUUUAGCGAACAAAGCAGCAUGUGAAGGGAGUUAACUCAUACUAGUAUAUAAUAUAGAUGACAAGUAAAUAUUCAUAUACAUAUAUUAUAUUUACAAAAUGUAUCAAUUUUCCUUUUAUAUCCGAAUUUUUAAAAAAAAACAAA